GCUAAACGCGAAGAACCUUACCAGGUCUUGACAUCCUCUGACAACCCUAGAGAUAGGGCUUCUCCUUCGGGAGCAGAGUGACAGGUGGUGCAUGGUUGUCGUCAGCUCGUGUCGUGAGAUGUUGGGUUAAGUCCCGCAACGAGCGCAACCCUUGAUCUUAGUUGCCAUCAUUAAGUUGGGCACUCUAAGGUGACUGCCGGUGACAAACCGGAGGAAGGUGGGGAUGACGUCAAAUCAUCAUGCCCCUUAUGACCUGGGCUACACACGUGCUACAAUGGACGGUACAAAGAGCUGCAAGACCGCGAGGUGGAGCUAAUCUCAUAAAACCGUUCUCAGUUCGGAUUGUAGGCUGCAACUCGCCUACAUGAAGCUGGAAUCGCUAGUAAUCGCGGAUCAGCAUGCCGCGGUGAAUACGUUCCCGGGUCUUGUACACACCG
RNAcentral lists this ribosomal RNA (437 nucleotides) under uncultured bacterium. RNAcentral describes it as "bacterial SSU rRNA". It matches the Rfam family "Bacterial small subunit ribosomal RNA", at positions 954 to 1392 of the family's 1533-position model. The record is from RNAcentral.